AGGCUAUAUAUAUAUGAAUCCCUUAUGACUAUUAUAUCCAACUUUGAUUACAUCUUCCUCUCUAGGGCCGCUACUUGAUCAUCUUCAUCAUCAUCCGCUACGAUGCCAAGUGGUGCAGAGAUCUGUUGUGAGAUUCUUCUAGCAAUUCUUCUUCCUCCUCUUGGUGUCUGUUUCAGACAUGGUUGUUGCAGUGUGGAAUUCUUGAUCUGUUUGUUGUUGACAUUUCUAGGUUAUGUUCCAGGUAUAAUCUAUGCCGUCUAUGUCAUAGUUGCUGUCAAUCGUGAACCCUACCCUGAUGAUUACUGGCGCCCUAUUAAUGCUUAAUCAAAUUCCAUUCUGGUGUAAUUUUUAAAUGGAGAUUUUAUGUAUAAAACUUACGGAGAUUGGUGAAUAUCAUGCUUAAUUUGAUCUAUAAUCUUCGCUUUUUAUGAUCUUAAUAAUUUUGUGUAUGAUUGGUUAUUGUGAUCUGAUGACCUAAUCUAUGGUCAAUUUGGGGAAAUUUUAUGAUUAAUUAGGUUUUUUAAGAAUUCUUUUUUGAUGAUUGUGUUUCUUGUAUUGCAAAUCAUUCACUAAUUAACUUAGAAGAACGGAUUAAGGUAGUAGACGAGAUCUAUAGAUUUUUAGUUUAAUGUUUUAGUUUGUUUGAUAUCCAUUGUGGCUGUUAAUAGAGUUUUGUAGAAUGAGCUGUUCAGAACUUCCAAUUCUGAAUCUGAAACAAGAGAUACACAAAUUUUGGUAGCUUAAUCUAGAUCAACGUUGAGAUGAAUGUACAGUCCACCUCUACCCAUAUCGAUGAAACAAUUACAAAAUUUAGAUGAAUGUGUUUGUCGAAGAAAACAGUUGGAAGGAGUGUAGCUAUACAGUCUCAUGUUAGAAAGAAAGAUUAUAAAACAUCAGUUUAGUUGAAUCCAAGUGAAUGACGGAAGCCUUUUUUUUUUCUUCUCUCCAAAAUGCUGCUAGCGAGGUCAUCUGUUCUGCUGCUUUAGCUACAUUACAUGUUUGUGUUAUAUCAUCGACCUUUAGUUCAUGUAUAUGCAUAUCCAUAUAUGGGUCCUGUAAUUGUAUCUAAAGGCCUCUUAGUUUGAUGCCUCCUACUACUUGUUUUAGCAGAUGUGAAUUUUGGUCACAAUAUCGGUGAUGUUGUUUAGGAGAGACUUUGAAACUUUGCUCUGUCAAGCUUAACAAAUAGUCAAUUUCUUAUGUCAUUCCUGCAGAGUUCUUUCCUCAAUAUUCAAUGACUAUUCUUGUCUAGCCUACCUGAAGUAAAAUCAUCUGUGAGCCGAGUCUGAGUUUGACGGACAAUCUGUGACAUGAUUCUGCAGUAAAUUUACCUGAAGGAGAUUUUUUUUUCCAUGUUACAAAUAGAAAUGAUAGAAUCCGGACUACACGACCAUUGGCAUAAUGUGCACGGGCCAUAUCAUUCGCCCACCUAAGUAUUAUUCCUCAUAUAACCGGUCUUGUUUUCAAAGGUUUUAGAUUCCUCGUAGAAAAACACGAAAGUCUAGGAUCUAAAUGCUGUUGGGAUACCAACAUCAAUCCGGACUCCAAUUUACUGAUCACAGCAGGUUACCGAGAUUUUUUCCAGUAUGAUAUUGUUUAUGUUUCAGUAUUUGUUCAGGACUAGACUGUAUAUGACGUCCCUAUAAAUACUUAGUUCUCCCUAUAAAUACUUAGUUCUCAUAAGUAUUUUAUUCAUUCAACUUUCAGUCAAUAUAGUUAAGCUUUGCUUAACUCUGGAGGCUGAUCUCUAGUCGAUUGCAGAUUUAUUUUUUUCUCGAAGGGUUAAAAAUCUAGCAGCUGCCAAUGGGAACUAAAAUAGUUGAACUUCCAUCGACAGUCAAAUUCAUCUGGAAGAUCGACAACUUUUCUAAGUUGUACUCGAACAACUCAGCCUACCUUUACUCUGAUGUUUUCAGUGCUGCUGGUGCUAAGUGGAAGGGACUGAUUUAUCCUAAGGGAUCGGGGAAAGUGUUUAUCAGUGUAUCUCUCUCGUCAAGACUCCGCCAAAUUUCCGGUGAACCUGGACUACAUUCUCACAAUUACUAAUCAAACUGAUCCCAAAACAACAAGACACUUGGUAUAAAUCCUCAAUCUUUUUUUGGAUUAUUUAGUUUUUGGUACUUAUAUUUUGUCCAGAGUUAGUAUUUGGUCUAAGAUUUGUCCAACUUAGGAUUUGGUACUUGGAAAUAACGUUGACCUUCGGUGACCGUCUUAAAUCUUGACUUCUACUAAAGAAAUUAUUAAAAAAUUUAUAUAAAAUAUAAUCAUUAAACAAAUUUACUAUUACACCCUUCAUUUUCCUAGUAUUUACAAAUAAUCACAUAUUAACCCUUCAUCGCCACCACCGUCAAUUUCUUUCUCUCGAACACUACCACUGCAACAUCAUCACAUCUCGCUUUCCCUGGUUAUUCAAUAUGUUGAAUAUAUUUAAGGGAAUAACCUCUUACCUGCAACAUGUUGGUUCUGCAUGCGGUGAACAUCAAUUCAAUUUUUAUCCGUUAGUCAUGGGGGUAUUUGAGUAAGUCUCUCAAAAUCCCUGUUAGUCGUGGAAGAGUUUAAAAAGUCUCUAAACUCCCUAAAAAGUCUCUGAACAAUUGCGCUUAAACAUUGAUUUCAUAGGCCUCAAUGUGAAUUUCACCUUAUAAGUAAGUUUAAGCACGACCCAAGUGCAAAUAGCCUUGCUAGAAAAUGUUACUGGACGACCUGGAUUUUAUUUUACCAUGACCACGGUCUGAGAAUAUCAGAUUAUUCUUUGGGAUUUUUUCCGGUGUAUCUAGAAUUUUCUCCUGGUUUAUCUACCCAGGAUGAAUCCCGAAAAACAAACUGUAAAAUAAACUGAUAAAUCCCAGGAAUCAUCAAACAAAAAGAACGAAUUUACUUUCCAAACACUCUGUAGUCCACUCAACAGUCAACCAAACCCCAAACCCCCUUCUUUCUCCUUAAAACCCUAGCUGCAAAUCUUUUCUCCUCGACUAGGGGAUUCCAUAGAGAUCAUAUUAGAUACUUGUACUCGCUUAUCAGCUACAUCCAUUCUAGACUGCAGCAAAUUAGUAAGCAAAUCCUGGGGAAAUGAUGCCAAAUUUCAUAUGAAUCGCCAUAGUGAUUGAUGUUGAUACUGGUGGUAAGUUUAGUUUGUUAUUCACGGAUGUUGUGUUUGGUGUUGGAUUCAACCAGUUUUAUUAUUCAGAAAUAUGAUGAGAAUGCUUUUUAAUUUUCUGAAACACCAUUUUGAUAGACUCUCCAUUUGUGUACUGUAUAUGUUGUUAUGGGCUCAUAUAAAUAUAAUGGCUUGAUUUGUCUAAGUUUCUGCCAUUAUAAAGACUGGAUGAACUACGAACUUGCUGGUUUAUUUAUAAGUGUGUGAUGUUAUUGCCUAAUUUAAGAACCCUUGGAAUAUGUAAGUAAUUUAAGAACCCUUGGAAAAUAUAGUACUAGGCAUUAUUGAGGCCUAUAUCCUGUUGUCAGCAUUCUAUGAAUCCAAGUACUAGGAUUUUAGUUUGGUGUGGUUCUCAGGAAGGGAGGCUAAUUUAAUCAAUUUCAGAACUCUUUUCAACUUGGAAUAUGUUAACAAAUCCAGUGUAUCCAAAAUUUAGUUUUCUUUUGUUAUGCAAUCUAGAGCGCAUUGGUGGUUAAGUUUAUAUCUAAAUAAUCCAUCUUGCUUGGCUUGUUUGCUUUUCUCUAUGUCAAUGUCUACUUGAAUUGAAUAUUGAUACAGUUUUGAAUAUGCCAAUUUCUCGCAAAUAAGAGGUUUAAUGCAAUGGCAGGGAAAAUUCUUGAAAUUGGAAGGUUUCUGUACUGCUACUAGAGCAUCCACUAUUUGGUUUUGAGAGUCACUAGAUAGUCGAUUUGGGGAUAAUUUAUAAUUGGUAGUUUGUUCAUUCCAUAUUGAAUUCCCAGGCGGAGUAGUCGCUCAUCCUUUCUCUGUUGCACAUGAUGAUGACAUUCUAAUUUUGGAAAAUGAUGCAUUCUGUGAAUGUCUAAUUUUGAACCUGAAUGAGCUUUAUAGAGCAGCCUCUUUGUGCUCUUUUUCCUGAUCUUUUCAAGUUGUCAAGUUACAAGAACUCAACUCUGUAGGAAACGCUGACACAUACUAGUACUGCCUGGAAUUUUCGUUUUUCAAGUCCUCUCGAAGUUCCUUCUUGUUGUAAUAACAGCUAACAACAGUAAAAGAGUCACCAGGUCUCCAUGAUGUAGUGUCGGUGCUGUCAGUGAGAAACUUUGGUUCAGGUUCCUUAACUGUCAACAGUCACGACACCGUAAACCAUGACUGGCAGUGCUCCAAAAUGAAACUAGGACAGGGCAAAGAGGUUUCUGGGGUAGGAAAGAGUAAUAAUUGAAACAGCAUACAGUGUAAGAGAAAUCUUGUCCCAAUAAAACCCAAAAAACCCAGAGCUACUUACAAAAGGUGGGGAAUCCUAAACUCUAGAAAUGGAGAUGCAAACAAGUGAUGUAGAAGAUUUUUCUGCAUCAGCAACACUAGUUCCCUGUACCUGCUAGUUUGUCUGAUGAUCCAUCUAAAGGCCCAUUUGUUCUUGAUUUCAAAGAUAUUCCAAGUUGGAAAUCUGCAUUUCAAGAUGGCGAAUUCAAAAUUAUAGAGCAAUGUUAGAUUUCAGGUAAUUGUUAGUUACUGGAGUAGUAAAAUCUGAACUGGGGAAAUUAGGGUAAGGUCCCACCCAUGAGUAGUAAAAUCUGAAAACUGUCGGUUUCCUAUUACUGACAGAUGAUACCUUGCAAUGAUGGGUUAUAAUCAAAUCUGGAAAAGUGAACGAUUUAUAUGUAAGGAAUAGGUUUCAGUUUGGUUAGAUUGGUUUGAGAGUCUCAACUAGAAACAGUGAAGUUUCCUGCAUCAAGAUUCCAACCGCUGUGCUCCAACGUCCAUCACAAAACUCAAGGUGUGGCUUUUGUUCUGCGGUAGCAUGCACCUAGGCUAGGGAUGAAAUUUGAGUUGUCGUUCGCAUAAUUCUAGAAGUCUUUUAUCAUGACAUUACCAAGUGGAAAAAGGUCAAGGACUGUAACACCAGCGAUUGAGUUUAUAUAGUUGCUGGGUGCAGGAACUUGGAUUCUUAGUUAACAAACAAACGGCAUUCAUUUUCUCGCCUUGAAUGUUCUGGAAAAUACUUCGUUUCUCUAAAUGCAAAUUGAGUUAAUCAGUGAAAUUUGAAACUUGUUAUUGUAUUAUUGGGGUUCAAAAGCACCAGCCUCGCCCAUUGUGGUCAUAGGGUGGUCAUUGACCAUAGCAGGUACUUAACAUCCACUAGGAGGAGCUAAGAAUGGCUCCCUAGGGUGCAGGAGCAGGAACUAUAGAAGGAAGUUAAGCAAUGAAUUGGUAGAAGCAGAAAUAGCAGGGAUGGGAACCAUAGUCUCAACAGAUGGGGAGGAGGAGCCAACAUCUCAUUCUUGGUUAUGUUCUUCCAGAUGAGGAGUCUCCUCUGCAAGUAUCUGAAAGGAGAAUUUUUCAUGUCAGGACCAGAUUGUUAUUGAUCAAACGUAGAAACAUCAGAAACUGAAUGACAAACAGAUCAGUAAAAGUAUUAUUACCUCAAAUCCCAUCUUUCUAUAUAGUGCCAGUGCUGGUUUGUUAUCCCGAUGGACAAGUACAAAUACCUACUUUAUACCUGACACAUAAAAUUCAAGAGCGUUAGUUUUCCUCCUUGCAGGUAACCGUCCGAUUUGGAUCACUGGAAGAGAAAUUAAGCAGUCAAACGACUGGGAUGGUCUCACUGUGUUCUUUUGCAGUUUCAAUUGCAAACUUCAGCAUGCUGCUUCCAACACCUUGUCGACGUGCACUUUCAGCAACAGCUACAUUUGAGAUUGUGCCAUGUUUCUGUAAUCCUCUUUGUCUGAAGGUGCUAGAUGCAUUCACAAACUUCCAGAGUUCCUGAGGAGUCAAGGAAUUCAAAUCUUAGGUGAUUCUCAACAUCAAAUUGCCAACUGAAAUUAGAAAAUUAUCCAAGUAUAAUGCACCUGAUCAGGAUAAGUCUCCCACUGUAACUGGUACUUGACACGAAAAUCCUGAGUUCCAAUGACAUUUUUAAACAUGUGCACAUUCUUGCCUUCGUUUCUUACAGCAACAAUGCACAUGAAUGGUUCUAAAUAACGCGUCGAAUAUCGCCUUUCUAUUGUAUCCAACUCCUGCAUUAACAGUAUGCCAAUAAGCAGCACCAUUCUCAUG
This is an RNA transcript of Papaver somniferum (opium poppy), 6172 nucleotides long. It is a transcript of the gene named UPF0057 membrane protein At4g30660-like, with no coding region annotated. The transcript has 4 exons. NCBI's taxonomy places the organism in Eukaryota, Viridiplantae, Streptophyta, Magnoliopsida, Ranunculales, Papaveraceae. The record is from RefSeq and is a predicted model, not a curated record.